CCCUUCGGGGUGUGACUGCGUACCUUUUGUAUAAUGGGUCAGCGACUUAUAUUCUGUAGCAAGGUUAACCGUAUAGGGGAGCCGGAGGGAAACCGAGUCUUAACCGGGCGUUAAGUUGCAGGGUAUAGACCCGAAACCCGGUGAUCUAGCCAUGGGCAGGUUGAAGGUUGGGUAACACUAACUGGAGGACCGAACCGACUAAUGUUGAAAAAUUAGCGGAUGACCUGUGGCUGGGGGUGAAAGGCCAAUCAAACCGGGAGAUAGCUGGUUCUCCCCGAAAGCUAUUUAGGUAGCGCCUCGUGAAUUCAUCUCCGGGGGUAGAGCACUGUUUCGGCUAGGGGGCCAUCCCGGCUUACCAACCCGAUGCAAACUGCGAAUACCGGAGAAUGUUAUCACGGGAGACACACGGCGGGUGCUAACGUCCGUCGUGAAGAGGGAAACAACCCAGACCGCCAGCUAAGGUCCCAAAGUCAUGGUUAAGUGGGAAACGAUGUGGGAAGGCCCAGACAGCCAGGAUGUUGGCUUAGAAGCAGCCAUCAUUUAAAGAAAGCGUAAUAGCUCACUGGUCGAGUCGGCCUGCGCGGAAGAUGUAACGGGGCUAAACCAUGCACCGAAGCUGCGGCAGCGAACGUAUCACCCAAGACAACUUUACGGAGUUGACGAUUGACGGAGCGAAGCGACGUCAAAGCGUUCAUUAAAGUCGAGUUGGCUUAGGGAUACGUUCGUUGGGUAGGGGAGCGUUCUGUAAGCCUGUGAAGGUGUGUCGUGAGGCAUGCUGGAGGUAUCAGAAGUGCGAAUGCUGACAUAAGUAACGAUAAAGCGGGUGAAAAGCCCGCUCGCCGGAAGACCAAGGGUUCCUGUCCAACGUUAAUCGGGGCAGGGUGAGUCGACCCCUAAGGCGAGGCCGAAAGGCGUAGUCGAUGGGAAACGGGUUAAUAUUCCCGUACUUGGUGUUACUGCGAAGGGG
RNAcentral lists this ribosomal RNA (967 nucleotides) under Salmonella enterica subsp. enterica serovar Typhimurium. Its description in RNAcentral is "partial 23S ribosomal RNA". It matches the Rfam family "Bacterial large subunit ribosomal RNA", at positions 582 to 1469 of the family's 2925-position model. The record is from RNAcentral. Lineage: Bacteria; Pseudomonadati; Pseudomonadota; Gammaproteobacteria; Enterobacterales; Enterobacteriaceae.